RNAcentral lists this long non-coding RNA (607 nucleotides) under Eutrema salsugineum. RNAcentral's name for it is "long non-coding RNA (ESAL_LNC001950)". Lineage: Eukaryota; Viridiplantae; Streptophyta; Magnoliopsida; Brassicales; Brassicaceae. The record is from RNAcentral.
GAGAAGCGGAAGAGAAUAAGGAUUUAAGAAAAGAAGGCUUUGAGAGUAUCAUCAAGGCAAAGGCAUUGGUUGAGUCUCAUUGCCCUUCUCGUGUCUCUUGUUCUGAUAUUCUCGCCAUCGCUACUCGAGAUUUCAUCCACCUGGUAAUUAAUAAUCCCAAUACUUUUAAUACUUCCUAUAUUCAUAUAAUUCGAUACUAGCUAAACCGUUUCCUCUGGUUCUAGGACCGAUUCUUACAUGCCCAAAUGGUUCUAGGACCGUUUCAACUAAACCGGUUUUGGAUAUAGUUUUUGGCUUUGGUUCAACUUAAUUAUACUUGAUUUUUAGUAACUUUGAUUUUGAAAAUGAUUAAGAUCGUUAAUGGUGUAUGAAUCUACGUGUCAUUGACAAAUAUGCUUUGUGUUGACUCCGAAAUUAGGCAGGUGGGCCCUACUAUCAAGUAAAAAAAGGUAGGUGGGACGGUAAAAGAUCAACGGCAACGAACGUCCCUCCAAACAUACCUCGAUCAAACUCCACCGUCGAUCAGCUCAUCAAGCUCUUCGCGUCCAAAGGACUAACCGUAGAGGAUCUCGUCGUUCUUUCCGGGUCCCACACAAUCGGUUUCGCC